CCUACGGGAGGCUGCAGUGAGGAAUAUUGGUCAAUGGGCUUACGCCUGAACCAGCCAAGUCGCGUGAGGGAAGACUGCCCUAUGGGUUGUAAACCUCUUUUGUCAGGGAGCAACGCCGGCUACGUGUAGCCGGACUGAGAGUACCUGAAGAAAAAGCAUCGGCUAACUCCGUGCCAGCAGCCGCGGUAAUACGGAGGAUGCGAGCGUUAUCCGGAUUUAUUGGGUUUAAAGGGUGAGUAGGCGGAAUGCCAAGUCAGCGGUAAAAUCGCGGGGCUCAACCUCGCUCCGCCGUUGAAACUGGCGGUCUUGAGUGGGCGAGAAGUAUGCGGAAUGCGUGGUGUAGCGGUGAAAUGCAUAGAUAUCACGCAGAACUCCGAUUGCGAAGGCAGCAUACCGGCGCCCAACUGACGCUGAAGCACGAAAGCGUGGGUAUCGAACAGGAUUAGAUACCCUUGUAGUC
RNAcentral lists this ribosomal RNA (460 nucleotides) under uncultured bacterium. Its description in RNAcentral is "partial 16S ribosomal RNA". It matches the Rfam family "Bacterial small subunit ribosomal RNA", at positions 338 to 795 of the family's 1533-position model. The record is from RNAcentral.